CCUACGGGAGGCAGCAGUGAGGAAUAUUGGACAAUGGGCGCUAGCCUGAACCAGCCAAGUAGCGUGAAGGAUGACUGCCCUAGGGGUUGUAAACAUCUUUUAUAUGGGGAUAAAGUGCAGUAUGUAUACUGCUUGGCAUGUACCUUAUGAAUAAGGAUCGGCUAACUCCGUGCCAGCAGCCGCGGUAAUACGGAGGAUCCGAGCGUUAUCCGGAUUUAUUGGGUUUAAAGGGAGCGUAGGCGGGUUGUUAAGUCAGUUGUGAAAGCCUGCGGCUCAACCGGAAAACUGCAGUUGAUACUGGCAGGCUUGAGUAUAGUAGAGGGAGGUAGAAUUCGAGGUGUAGCGGUGAAAUGCUUAGAGAUCACGAAGAACUCCGAUUGCGAAGGCAGCCUGCUGGACUGUGACUGACGCUGAUGCUCGAAAGCGUGGGGAGCAAACAGGAUUAGAUACCCUUGUAGUC
RNAcentral lists this ribosomal RNA (460 nucleotides) under uncultured bacterium. Its description in RNAcentral is "partial 16S ribosomal RNA". It matches the Rfam family "Bacterial small subunit ribosomal RNA", at positions 338 to 795 of the family's 1533-position model. The record is from RNAcentral.